This 72-nucleotide transfer RNA is filed under the name invertebrate metagenome. Its description in RNAcentral is "tRNA-Lys-TTT". It matches the Rfam family "tRNA". Rfam says of the family: Transfer RNA (tRNA) molecules are approximately 80 nucleotides in length. The record is from RNAcentral.
GGGCGCGUAGCUCAGCGGUAGAGCAGCUGACUUUUAAUCAGCAGGUCCUGGGUUCGAUUCCCAGCGCGCUCA